RNAcentral lists this ribosomal RNA (321 nucleotides) under Allapsidae sp. RNAcentral's name for it is "SSU rRNA". The stretch from base 53 to 321 matches the Rfam family "Eukaryotic small subunit ribosomal RNA", at positions 686 to 955 of the family's 1831-position model. RNAcentral also lists the same sequence under 1 other name. Lineage: Eukaryota; Cercozoa; Glissomonadida; Viridiraptoridae. The record is from RNAcentral.
GAUUUCUGGCUUGAUGCGCCUGACCCGCUAAGGUUACUUAGUGUGUGUCGGGUCGCGUCUGCCAUCCUUCUAGUGAACAAUUCUGGUCUUUAUUGAUCGGGGUUGCAAGCUAGAUCUUUUACUUUGAAAAAAUUAGAGUGUUUAAAGCAAGCAAUUUGCUAUGAAUACAUUAGCAUGGAAUAAUAAUUUAGGACUUCGGUUCUAUUUUGUUGGUUUCUAGAGCUGAAGUAAUGAUUGAUAGGGAUAGUUGGGGGUGCUAGUAUUCAGUGGCCAGAGGUGAAAUUCUCGGAUUCCCUGAAGACUCACUUAUGCGAAAGCAUU